Molecule: ribosomal RNA, 429 nt
Filed under: Bacteroidota bacterium
Lineage: Bacteria; Pseudomonadati; Bacteroidota
Description: Bacteroidetes bacterium partial 16S ribosomal RNA
Rfam family: Bacterial small subunit ribosomal RNA
Source: RNAcentral
UAGGGAAUCUUCGGCAAUGGGGGGAACCCUGACCGAGCAACGCCGCGUGAGUGAAGAAGGUUUUCGGAUCGUAAAGCUCUGUUGUUAAGGAAGAACGAGUGUGAGAAUGGAAAGUUCAUACUGUUACGGUACUUAACCAGAAAGGGACGGCUAACUACGUGCCAGCAGCCGCGGUAAUACGUAGGUCCCGAGCGUUGUCCGGAUUUAUUGGGCGUAAAGCGAGCGCAGGCGGUUAGAUAAGUCUGAAGUUAAAGGCAGUGGCUCAACCAUUGUAGGCUUUGGAAACUGUUUAACUUGAGUGCAGAAGGGGAGAGUGGAAUUCCAUGUGUAGCGGUGAAAUGCGUAGAUAUAUGGAGGAACACCGGUGGCGAAAGCGGCUCUCUGGUCUGUAACUGACGCUGAGGCUCGAAAGCGUGGGGAGCGAACAGG